CUGGCCUCAAACUCAUGGUGAUCCUUCUGCCUCAGCUGCCUGAGUACUGGGAUUACAGGCAUGUGGCACUACUCCUGGCCUCUCUUAGGAUGAAAAAGGGCAUUAUGGGUGGAUUAAUUCAAAUUAAACACCAUUAUUGAAAAAAGAAGAUCAUAGUCUACAGAGGGUAGUGUUUGUUAAUUGAGAUCUGCAUGUAUUCUGGGAAGCCAAUAAGAUCACAUCAACAGACCCUUCUAUGGGCAGGGUACACUCUGCUCGGUCUCCCACAUGGAUGCCUAAUUCUAAAACACACCAAUGAUUUAAGACUACGACAGCAGCAUGGCC
Chinchilla lanigera (long-tailed chinchilla) is the source of this 324-nucleotide long non-coding RNA. RefSeq lists it as uncharacterized. NCBI's taxonomy places the organism in Eukaryota, Metazoa, Chordata, Mammalia, Rodentia, Chinchillidae. The transcript has 3 exons. The record is from RefSeq and is a predicted model, not a curated record.